Molecule: ribosomal RNA, 509 nt
Filed under: uncultured bacterium
Lineage: Bacteria
Description: bacterial SSU rRNA
Rfam family: Bacterial small subunit ribosomal RNA
Source: RNAcentral
GAUGAACGCUAGCGGCAGGCCUAAUACAUGCAAGUCGAACGGAUAUAUGUUUUUCGGAAUAUAUAUUAGUGGCGCACGGGUGAGUAACACGUACAUAACUUGCCCUCAAGCGGGGGAUAGCCUUGGGAAACUGAGAGUAAUACCCCAUAGAAUUAUUGGACGGCAUCGUUUGAUAAUUAAAACUACGGUGUUUGGGGAUAGAUGUGCGUCUGAUUAGCUAGUUGGUGAGGUAACUGCUCACCAAGGCGACGAUCAGUAGGGGGCGUGAGAGCGUGGCCCCCCCACACGGGUACUGAGACACGGACCCGACUCCUACGGGAGGCAGCAGUAAGGAAUAUUGGUCAAUGGAGGGAACUCUGAACCAGCCAUGCCGCGUGAAGGAUGACGGCCCUCUGGGUUGUAAACUUCUUUUGGAUGGGGCGAAAAAACGGGAUUUAUCCUGGACUGACGGUACCAUCAGAAUAAGCACCGGCUAACUCCGUGCCAGCAGCCGCGGUAAAGUAGUCGUG